UUUCUCGGCUGGCUAUCGACCGGGCUGUGACAUGGUAGAUCAAUACGGCAGGGAUAUAAAGCCGGCUGGCUGCCUGCCUGCCUCUGUCUCUCUCUCUCUCUCCCUUGCUUGCCUUGCUUCCCUUUCCCCGAGCCGCAUCCAGGCCUCCCAACCCCCAAAUGUACCCCUCACCCCAGCCUCUGAGGGGCCAGGGUCCCCCCAGCUCCCUACAGUGGGAGAGCUUAGGGGGGCUGACAGCUUGGACAGCCAGGAGAGGGGCUCCCUGCUAAUGUGCCCGAGAGGCAGCCUCUGCCACCCACAUGGGAAACUUGGAUAGAAUUCCUGGCUCCUGACUUUGGCCUGGUCCUGCACAUCCCACGUCAGAGCGCCUGGGCUCCACUUCCAGCUCUGGCUCCUGACUCCAGCUUCCUGCUAACGCAGAUCCUGGGAAGCAGUGAUGUAACAAGUGACUGAGUUCCUGCCAACCAUGUUGGGAACCCUGAAUUGAAUUCCUGGCUCCUGGCUCCUGGCUCCUUGCUCCUGGCUCCUGGCUCCGGCUACAGUUCCAGUCCCAGUUAUUAUGGACAUUUGGAGAAUGAACCAAAGAAUGGAAACUC
Oryctolagus cuniculus (rabbit) is the source of this 596-nucleotide long non-coding RNA. RefSeq lists it as uncharacterized. The record is from RefSeq and is a predicted model, not a curated record. NCBI's taxonomy places the organism in Eukaryota, Metazoa, Chordata, Mammalia, Lagomorpha, Leporidae.